UGGGGAAUAUUGCACAAUGGACGGAAGUCUGAUGCAGAAACGCCGCGUGCGGGAUGACGGCCUUCGGGUUGUAAACCGCUUUUUCUCAUGACGAAGUUUUUUGACGGUAGUGGGGGAAGAAGCACCGGCUAACUACGUGCUAGCAGCCGCGGUGAUACGUAGGGUGCGAGCGUUGUCCGGAAUUAUUGGGCGUAAAGAGCUUGUAGGCGGUUUGUCGCGUCGAUAGUGCAAACUCAGUGCUUAACGCUGAGCCUGCUGUUGAUACGGGCAGACUAGAGGAAGGUAGUGGAGAAUGGAAUUCCCGGUGUAGCGGUGGAAUGCGCAGAUAUCGUGAGGAACACCGGUGGCGAAGGCGGUUCUCUGGGCCUUUCCUGACGCUGAGAAGCGAAAGCGUGGGGAUCGAACAGG
RNAcentral lists this ribosomal RNA (408 nucleotides) under Fusobacteriota bacterium. RNAcentral describes it as "Fusobacteria bacterium partial 16S ribosomal RNA". It matches the Rfam family "Bacterial small subunit ribosomal RNA", at positions 355 to 776 of the family's 1533-position model. Lineage: Bacteria; Fusobacteriati; Fusobacteriota. The record is from RNAcentral.